UGAACGCUGGCGGUAUGCCUAACACAUGCAAGUCGUACGAGGGUUUUUAACUCUAGUGGCGGACGGGUGAGUAACACGUGAGAAUUUGCCUUUAGGAGGGGGAUAACAAUCGGAAACGAAUGCUAAUACCCCAUAUGCUUUCGAGUGAAACGGAUUUAUCCGCCUAAAGAGAAGCUCGCGGCUGAUUAGCUUGUUGGUAAGGUAAGAGCUUACCAAGGCGACGAUCAGUAUCUGGUUUGAGAGGACGAUCAGACACACUGGAACUGAGACACGGUCCAGACUCCUACGGGAGGCAGCAGUGAGGAAUAUUGGACAAUGGGCGCAAGCCUGAUCCAGCCAUACCGCGUGGGUGAAGAAGGCCUCGGUUGUAAGCCUUUGUUGGUAAGAAUACCAGCUGGCUAAUACCCGGUUGGGAGUGACGGUACCCAACGAAUAAGCACCGGCUAACUUCGCGCCAGCAGCCGCGGUAAUCGAUGGCGCGAG
Molecule: ribosomal RNA, 483 nt
Filed under: uncultured bacterium
Lineage: Bacteria
Description: bacterial SSU rRNA
Rfam family: Bacterial small subunit ribosomal RNA
Source: RNAcentral